UACGUAGGGUGCAAGCGUUGACCGGAAUUAUUGGGCGUAAAGAGCUCGUAGGCGGCUUGGCGCGUCUGCUGUGAAAUUUCGGGGGUCAACCCCGGAACUGCAGUGGGUACGGUCUGACUAGAGUGCGGUAGAGUAGACUGGAAUUCCUGGUGUAGCGGUGGAAUGCGCAGAUAUCAUGAGGAAAACCUGUGGCGAAGGGGGGUCUCUGGGCCGCAACUGACGCUGAGGAGCGAAAGCGUGGGGAGCGAUCAGG
RNAcentral lists this ribosomal RNA (253 nucleotides) under uncultured bacterium. RNAcentral describes it as "partial 16S ribosomal RNA". It matches the Rfam family "Bacterial small subunit ribosomal RNA", at positions 524 to 776 of the family's 1533-position model. The record is from RNAcentral.